This 249-nucleotide ribosomal RNA is filed under the name uncultured bacterium. RNAcentral describes it as "partial 16S ribosomal RNA". It matches the Rfam family "Bacterial small subunit ribosomal RNA", at positions 15 to 258 of the family's 1533-position model. The record is from RNAcentral.
GAUCCUGGCUCAGAUUGAACGCUGGCGGCAGGCCUAACACAUGCAAGUCGAACGGUAACAGAAAGCAGCUUGCUGCUUUGCUGACGAGUGGCGGACGGGUGAGUAAUGUCUGGGAAACUGCCCGAUGGAGGGGGGAUAACUACUGGAAACGGUAGCUAAUACCGCAUAACGUCGCAAGACCAAAGAGGGGGACCUUAGGGCCUCUUGCCAUCGGAUGUGCCCAGAUGGGUNUAGUCUAGUAGGUAGGGG